CAGGCCACGACACGCCUUGGGCUCUCCUCGAUGCGAUUUGUGAGGCAAGGCUCGCCUUCUUCCACGCACCCAUGGAGGACAAUCUCCAGUUCACCUGAGAUGGGACUCGUCCCGGGCAAAAAACAACUGAUGGCACAAAGUUGCCACCAGCAGCAGUUGAUCUGGGAUUUCCACGAGCCGGAACAACGUUCGUCCGGUCCCUUCAAAUCUCCUGACCUAGGUGCACAUGGUAUGGCUGGCCUGCUCAGCUUGCGUGCCGGUCCGAGGAGUUCACCGUCACUUGCCCGGUCGUCGUCCGCCUGGGCGUCACCGGCUUCACAGGUGGUGGUUCGUCUGACAAGCCCACAGUUUCGCUGUGCCAGACUUUGUAACAGCCGUAGUCUACUAGCAGCAGCAGUCAAGAUCUCUAAGGACGGCUCCUCUGCGGUUCUGGCCAACAGCCUGCCUUUCAAAGGGGCUAUUAAUUGCGGAAUGCUGAUGCGGUAUGUUUUGAUGUUGAUAGCACCGUUGAUAGCACCGUCAUCCUAGACGAGGGCAUUGACGAGGAUACUAAUUUCUGCGGGGCUGGGAAAGCAGUUGCUGAAUGGACUGCAAAGGCCAUGAUAGGGACUGUUCCGUUGAGGAGGCGCUGGCAGCCAGGCUGUCUUUAAUCAAGCCAUCUCUCUCCCAGGUGGAAGAGUGCCCGGAGAAGAGGCCACCAAGGUAAGAUCGCCAUAUUCUGAAGUUCAUGUUAAGCACAGAUAUUCGUGUCAGGGAAAAUGGUAAGUUUAAAUUCUCUGUAUAUGUGAUGCUGUACUUUUUAAGCAGUUAUAUUAGGUAUGGCUCUUACUCUGUACCAGAAGAAGAUGAGCUAUUUAUGUUUUAGUUGUCAUAGCUGUUGAAAUUUAGUGUGAACA
This is an RNA transcript of Zea mays, 896 nucleotides long. It is a transcript of the gene named haloacid dehalogenase pseudogene, with no coding region annotated. The record is from RefSeq and is marked validated. The transcript is spliced from 4 exons. Lineage: Eukaryota; Viridiplantae; Streptophyta; Magnoliopsida; Poales; Poaceae.